This 253-nucleotide ribosomal RNA is filed under the name uncultured bacterium. RNAcentral's name for it is "partial 16S ribosomal RNA". It matches the Rfam family "Bacterial small subunit ribosomal RNA", at positions 524 to 776 of the family's 1533-position model. The record is from RNAcentral.
GACGAACCACACGAACGUUAUUCGGAAUUACUGGGCUUAAAGGGUGCGUAGGCUGUGCGGAAAGUUGGGUGUGAAAGCCCCCGGCUCAACCGGGGAAUUGCGCCCAAAACUACCGUGCUGGAGGAAGAUAGAGGUGAGCGGAACUUCGGGUGGAGCGGUGAAAUGCGUUGAUAUCCGAAGGAACACCGGUGGCGAAAGCGGCUCACUGGAUCUUUUCUGACGCUGAUGCACGAAAGCUAGGGGAGCAAACGGG